AUGUUUUCAUACCAUUAGUCGCUCACACAGCUCCCAAGCCUAUAAUCUUUGCCAAAUUUCGCCAUAAUUCCACCUUUUAAGUCCAAUUGCCACGCCACCACAACUAAACACAAAACAAGUAAAAACAAAACAUAAAAAUAAAGAAUUAACACAGUUUAAGCUCGAAUUAGAGGUUAAUUCGUAGGUAUAAAACCCACUCGUCAAACUCUCCCAAACUUAAACACGUGUUAGUCCUCGAGCACGAAACAAAACAAAAAUGUUAUUCAAUGCAAUGUAAUGAAACUAGUCUAUAUGCCUACGAAUCCGGUAGUAAUGACAGAGACAAGUCUAUUUAACUAACCUCAGGGAAAUCAAAUAAACAUGACAAUACUUCAUAUCAAAACCAAUCAACAAUUUCCUAGUCAAUUAUUAAAUCUUAAACUGUUAUUAUUGGUAUAGUGUGUGUGCUCAACAUCCAUGCUAACUGAUAUAGUGCAAAAUACAAUACAUAAUAGAUCUCUUUAAAGGCAUCAUACAAUGUAAACUCACAAAAUUUACGAACAAGCUAAAUCCAACUAAAUUCAAACAUUCAC
Molecule: long non-coding RNA, 572 nt
Filed under: Panax ginseng (ginseng)
Lineage: Eukaryota; Viridiplantae; Streptophyta; Magnoliopsida; Apiales; Araliaceae
Description: long non-coding RNA (PGIN_LNC006576)
Source: RNAcentral